Molecule: transfer RNA, 49 nt
Filed under: Linum nodiflorum
Lineage: Eukaryota; Viridiplantae; Streptophyta; Magnoliopsida; Malpighiales; Linaceae
Description: partial tRNA-Leu
Source: RNAcentral
AAAAUCCGUCGACUUUAGAAAUCGUGAGGGUUCAAGUUCUCUAUCCCCA